ACCCUUGCCUGCCUGACCACGAGCUUGAAUAAACCCUGUUGUGCACUGAGCCUUGUCUCCGCUGUGCGUGUGGGUCCGCUACCUCGGAGUCCGUGACAGUACAAUCUGGCCACACUCGGACCCAGCCGGCGUCUUGCAUCAGUUUAAGGGCUGCAAGGGAUUUUUUGUUUUGUGUACUCGGACGACGCAGAGUCGCGAUGGUGUUUACCUGCUCGAGGCUGCCGGAGGACCUCCGCUGGUGCUUCGGGGAGCUCGCGAGGAAUUACGCGGAAGCCCCCAGUCUGAAGGCGCGGCUCCGCGUAAUAAAACAGGCGAUCGCUAUCCUGGAGGAGGAAUUUUGGUGGCUUGACUACCCGGAAGUGCAGACGCUUUUUGAGAAACUCCAGGCAGUACAGAGGGAUUUGGCACGCGCUCUGCGCGCGGCGCCCGCCGGCGUCUCAUCAGCUGUUCCGGCUGCACCGGAAAGCGCUCCUGUCGCUGCUCCGUCGAGUCAAGCUCACGUUCCUGUCGCUGCUCCGUCGAGUCAAGCUCACGUUCCUGUCGCUGCUCCGUCGAGUCAAGCUCACGUUCCUGUCGCUGCUCCGUCGAGUCAAGCUCACGUUCCUGUCGCUGCUCAGUCCAGCCAAGCCCAUGCCCACGUUACCGCCAUAGUUCCCCAGCCCAAUCCCGUCCGUGCCGUGGAUCCAGCCCCUGCCUCAGCCCUGGCGGAUGAGGAGGUGAAGCCCACAGCUAGUCGCCGGAGGCCCAGACGGCGUCGACGACAGCCGGAUUCCCCUGCCCAGGCUCCAGAAGACUCGGUCACGGAAAUCAGACUGCCUCCUUCGCCAGCAGAGGGCACUCUAGCCCCAUCAUACGACAUGCCCAUCUCCAUCGCAGGCAUCCCAGACAGCAUCUUCCUGCGGAUCCGUGCCCAAUGCGCCCCUCCGGUCCUGUUCCUGUUUGCACACUGGCUGAACUCCGCUGAGGCAGAGACCGACCCGGUAAGCAAGGAGCGUCACUUCCGUGAAGCCGCCCUGCUCAUCGCCCGGAAGCCUGCGCUGCGCGAGGCCCUGGGUUUCAUUGAACCCCCAUCAGAGCCUGCACCCGUUCCUGCGUCAGAGCCUGCACCCGUUCCUGCGUCAGAGCCUGCACCCGUUCCUGCGUCAGAGCCUGCACCCGUUCCUGCGUCAGAGCCUGCACCCGUUCCUGCGUCAGAGCCUGCACCCGUUCCUGCGUCAGAGCCUGCACCCGUUCCUGCGUCUAAGUCUGCCUCACUGGCCCCAGCGUCUAAGUCUGCCUCACUGGCCCCAGCGUCUAAGUCUGCCUCACUGGCCCCAGCGUCUAAGUCUGCCUCACUGGCCCCAGCGUCUAAGUCUGCCUCACUGGCCCCAGCGUCUAAGGCUGCACCACUGGCCCCAGCGUCUAAGGCUGCACCACUGGCCCCAGCGUCUAAGGCUGCACCACUGGCCCCAGCGUCUAAGGCUGCACCACUGGCCCCAGCGUCUAAGGCUGCACCACUGGCGGCAGCAACUCCCGCCCUAGCCUCACCUCAGCCGUGCCAAGCUCCAGCUCGCGCCUCACCUCAGCCAUGCCAAGCUCCAGCUCACGCCUCACCUCAGCCAUGCCAAGCUCCAGCCCAGCCUGCAGCAGCUCGAGCCUCAGCCCAGCCUGCAGCAGCUCGAGCCUCAG
Molecule: long non-coding RNA, 1668 nt
Organism: Betta splendens (Siamese fighting fish)
Lineage: Eukaryota; Metazoa; Chordata; Actinopteri; Anabantiformes; Osphronemidae
Source: Ensembl